RNAcentral lists this ribosomal RNA (307 nucleotides) under uncultured bacterium. RNAcentral describes it as "bacterial SSU rRNA". It matches the Rfam family "Bacterial small subunit ribosomal RNA", at positions 30 to 334 of the family's 1533-position model. The record is from RNAcentral.
AUUGAACGCUGGCGGUAUGCUUAACACAUGCAAGUCGAACGGUAACAGCAGAGCUUGCUCUGGCUGACGAGUGGCGGACGGGUGAGUAAUAUAUAGUUAACCUGCCCUAGAGAAGGGGAUAACGUUUGGAAACGGACGCUAACACCUCAUAUGCCUUUAAGACAAAAGUCUGCAAGGGAAACAUUUAUGGCUCUAGGAUGGGACUGUACGGUAUCAGUUAGUUGGUGAGGUAAUGGCUCACCAAGACAAUGACACCUAACUGGUUUGAGAGGAUGAUCAGUCACACUGGAACUGAGACACGGUCCAG